This 209-nucleotide unclassified non-coding RNA is filed under the name soil metagenome. RNAcentral's name for it is "partial contains 5.8S ribosomal RNA, internal transcribed spacer 2, and large subunit ribosomal RNA". The record is from RNAcentral.
AACGCACGAGACCUGCGGACCUGCGGAGGGAUCAUUACAGUGGUGAUCGCCCCUUCGGGGUGCGGCCGCCCGAGAUAGAACCCUUUGCCUUUAGAGUACCAUUCGUUUCCUCGGCAGGCUCGCCUGUCAGUGGACACCAACCAAACCUUUUUGAUAAAGCAGUAAACGUCUAUAUACCAAUAUAUCAAAACUUUCAACAAUGGAUCUCU